GCUCCUCUGUGGCGUGCGUGACUACCGAUAAUGUGUCUUGAUCGAUAAUUGUUUUCUAGGAGUCUUAGCAGUCUUCGCCGCAGUAAACCAGACUUGCAUCUGGGAACUUAAGUUAGGUUAAGCGCCUUGGCUCCACCUGGUUUUACCGGGUCAAACAACUGAGGUAAGACGGCGUUGCGGAGGGGUG
Molecule: non-coding RNA, 187 nt
Organism: Pseudanabaena biceps PCC 7429
Lineage: Bacteria; Bacillati; Cyanobacteriota; Cyanophyceae; Pseudanabaenales; Pseudanabaenaceae
Source: Rfam